UGGGGAAUUUUGGACAAUGGGCGAAAGCCUGAUCCAGCAAUGCCGCGUGUGUGAAGAAGGCCUUCGGGUUGUAAAGCACUUUUGUCCGGAAAGAAAUCCUUGGCUCUAAUACAGUCGGGGGAUGACGGUACCGGAAGAAUAAGCACCGGCUAACUACGUGCCAGCAGCCGCGGUAAUACGUAGGGUGCAAGCGUUAAUCGGAAUUACUGGGCGUAAAGCGUGCGCAGGCGGUUUGCUAAGACCGAUGUGAAAUCCCCGGGCUCAACCUGGGAACUGCAUUGGUGACUGGGCAGGCUAGAGUAUGGCAGAGGGGGGUAGAAUUCCACGUGUAGCAGUGAAAUGCGUAGAGAUGUGGAGGAAUACCGAUGGCGAAGGCAGCCCCCUGGGCCAAUACUGACGCUCAUGCACGAAAGCGUGGGGAGCAAAACAGGAUUAGAUACCCUGGUAGUCCACGCCCUAAACGAUGUCAACUAGUUGUUGGGGAUUCAUUUCCUUAGUAACGUAGCUAACGCGUGAAGUUGACCGCCUGGGGAGUACGGUCGCAAGAUUAAAACUCAAAGGAAUUGAC
Molecule: ribosomal RNA, 568 nt
Filed under: uncultured bacterium
Lineage: Bacteria
Description: partial 16S ribosomal RNA
Rfam family: Bacterial small subunit ribosomal RNA
Source: RNAcentral